Molecule: RNA transcript, 3462 nt
Organism: Manduca sexta (tobacco hornworm)
Lineage: Eukaryota; Metazoa; Arthropoda; Insecta; Lepidoptera; Sphingidae
Exons: 2
Source: RefSeq, a predicted model, not a curated record
UACAUAGUGAUGUAGUCUCAGCUUACUAAAGUGACAUCACUAUGUGGCGUCCUUCCGGCCACUGUCACUUCCACACACACGUCCCGAUAGCGUCUGGUCAUGUCUGAUUAUAAUUAUGUUUAUAGUCUUAAUUAAUAAAUAUAUUGUCAUAAACGACAGUGUCAUUAUUCAUCAAAUACAGAACCACAAUACAUGGUGUCAGAAGUCAAUUCAAUCAAAAAAGAAAAAUGUCUAAAAGCGAUGAAGACACGGCAAGUGGCGAGCGGCAAGAAAUGGCUUCCAAAUCGCCAAAGAAGCUCAACAUUAUGGGUAAUAUCAAGCCCAUGAGUCUAGAAGGAAAUCUGUCCACAAACUGGAAGAGAUGGUAUCAAAGUUUUGUAAUUUUUAUGAAAGCGAGCGCCAUUUUUGAUGAGCCGGAUGACCGCAAAGUGGCUGUCUUGUUGCAUUUCAUUGGCAACGAAUGUCUUGAUAUAUUCAACACUUUCAACCUAAACAUAGAAAAUGUAAAAUUUUCGCAACUGGUCGAAAAGUUUGAACAAUACUUUGUACCUAAAAGAAACAUUACAUAUGAGUGUUACAAAUUUUUCACUACAAAACAAAAAGUAGAUGAAAGUCUAGAAGAUUUCCUAACUCGUCUUAUAAAUAAGAGUAAGUCAUGUGAAUUUGGUAGUCUCCAAGAUAGAAUGAUAAAAGAUAUUUUCAUCACUAAUAUGCAUGAAACUUUUCAUCAUGUCAGAGAAAAGUUGUUACUUGAAGAAGAUCUGUCAUUAGAAAAGGCGCGAAACCUUGCUAAAAGCAUUGUGUCAGCGAAAACACAUGCAGAAGAAUUUAAGGAGUCUUCUUCCAAUGUCUUUUAUCAAUCUCAUUCAUCAACCAAACCACAGUCACGAGCGAGCUCAAAGUCAAGAGCCAGGUCGCAGUCUCAAGAUAGAACAAAGUGUACUAAAUGUGGUCAAGUGCAUAAAUACAUGUGUCCUGCUAGAUAUGCAAAGUGUAGAAAGUGCAAAAUUAGAGGACAUUAUGAAGCGUGCUGUAAGUCUAAAUCUGUUAAACUCAUACAUGUAGCAAAAAGUGAAAAUGUCAAAGUUAAUGUGUCAAAUAAUAUGCUAAUUGGGAAUUUAAAUUCAAAUCACUCUAAGAAAGCAGAAUGGAGUAUUGAUUUAACAAUUAACAACAUCAAUAUAAAAUGCAUAUUGGAUACUGGCAGUGAUGCCAAUGUAAUGUCAUAUAAUUUAUUUAAGUCACUAAAUGUUGUCAAAGAAUUUUCACCUUGUCAUGCUAUAGUAACUUCUUAUUGUGGAAAUACCAUACCAAUAUUGGGUCAACAAACAUUUAAUUGUGUUUUUAGUAUUGGUAGUCAGAAAAAAUAUUAAAUUUAUUAUUGCAAAAGUGUCGUCACCAACUGUACUUGGUAAAAAUACUUGUACAGAAUUGGGUCUAGUUAAAAGAGUGUUUAAUAUUGAAAAAUUAAACAACUGUCAAAGUCAAAAUAAUAUGGCUAGUCUAACUAAAUGUCAUAAAAUGUCAAAAUUUACAAAUAGCAAUAUAAAUUGUCAAUUACAAGCACAUGAAAAUAAUUCUGAAUUUAAGUCAUGCUAUGUCAAAAAAGAUACUCAUAUAGAGAAUCUUUUGUCUAAAUUUAAGUGUGUAUUUGAUGGAUUGGGCUGUCUACCAGGUGAAUGUCAUAUCACAAUUAAUAAUGAUAUCCGUCCUAAAAUAGAUUCACCUCGGAAAAUUCCAUUCUCACUUCAUGAUAGACUGAAGAAGGAACUAGACAACAUGGAAAGUAUGGAUGUCAUCUGUAAGGUCACUGAGCCAACAUCAUGGCAGAACGUCUCCAGUGGCUCACCAAGGCUACGGAACAAGAUGAAAGUCUGCAACUACUGAAGAAUUACUAUCAAAAUGGAUGGCCUGAUAGAAAAUCUGAAGUCAAUAAAUUAGUCUUACCUUAUUGGAACUGUCGUCAUGAAAUACAUGCUGUCAAAGGUCUGCUAUUAAAAGGUAACAGUCUUAUUAUACCUAAAGAGUUGAGACCAGAAAUUCUGAAAAUGAUACAUAGUGGUCAUCAAGGUAUAGAAAAGUCAAAAAUUUUGCAAGAGGUGUUGUAUAUUGGCCAUUAAUGUCACAUGAUAUACAGCAAUGUGUAGAAAAUUGUGAAAUCUGUUUGUCACACAGAAAUGCAAAUCCUCCACAACCUCUAAUGUCUCAUAAGAUUAGUUCUUUUCCUUGGGAAAAAGUCGGUAUAGAUUUUUUACAAUUUAAAGGUCAAACUAUUGUUGUCGUCGAAGAUUACUAUUCUAAUUAUAUAGAAAUAGCUAAUGUCAGCUCAACAGGAGCAAAAGCAUUAAUAAAUGUUUUGAAACCUAUAUUCAGUCGUCACGGGAUUCCUGUAAAAAUAAUGUCAGAUAAUGGUCCACCCUACAGUUCACAAGAAUUUAAGCAGUUUAUAGAUUCUUGGGGUAUAUGUCAUACAACGUCAAGUCCUUACCUAUCACGGUCAAAUGGAUUAGUGGAAUCUGGAGUGAAAAUAAUAAAGCGCAUACUUACCAAAUGUGCUGAGUCUGGAGAUGAUCCUCAUCUUGCCUUGCUGCAAUAUAGAACCACACCUAGAGGAAACUUACCGUCUCCUGCUGAAUUAUUGAUGUCUCGUCGUCUCAGAACACUAAUACCUACCGUUGUUAAGCAUCUGCAACCUAAAAUAACAAGUCAUAAGGAAUAUAGGAAAAUAAAACAACAUAAUAAUGUCAAACAGAAAUUUUAUUUUGAUAAAAAAUCUAAGGAGUUGUCUAAAGUCAAGAAAGGAGAUAGGGUGAUGUUCAAAAAAUCACCUGAUUCUAAAUGGCAAUCUGGAAAAGUCAUAAAAGAAUGUGAUGAACCUAGAUCAUUUAUUGUCGAAGCCCCAGAUGGGUGUACAUUUAGAAGAAAUAGGCAACACUUGUUAUGUCCUCCGUCUUCAAGUCUUAAUAAGGAAAAUAUUCCAGAAAAUUUAACAGAGAGUCAAGAAAUAAGUCAAAGUCAAAAGGAGGAAGUGAGAAAGGAAGAACCUAUAAAGGGUAUACUUAAAACUAGAAGUGGUAGACAGGUCAAUCUCCCAGUCAGGUUUCAAGAUUAAGUAUAUGUUUGAUAAAUGUCAAGUGUAAUUGUCUAAGUAAAUUUUAAGUCUGUAAGUUACACAAAUGUAUAAGUAACAUGUCAUAUAAGUUAAGGAAUGUAAAAGUUAUAAGUCAAAUGUAUAUGUUGUCAUUCUGUGAAACUAGUCUUAAGUCUCAAUUGUCUUUGUUAAAAACAAAAAAUGAAAAAGGGAGAUGUUACAUAGUGAUGUAGUCUCAGCUUACUAAAGUGACAUCACUAUGUGGCGUCCUUCCGGCCACUGUCACUUCCACACACACGUCCCGAUAGCGUCUGGUCAUGUCUGAUUAUAAUUAUGUUUAUAGUCUUAAUUAAUAAAUAUAUUGUCAUAAA